ACUCCUACGGGAGGCAGCAGUGGGGAAUAUUGCACAAUGGGCGCAAGCCUGAUGCAGCCAUGCCGCGUGUGUGAAGAAGGCCUCGGUUGUAAGCACUUUCAGUUGUGAGGAAGGUGGUGUCGUUAAUAGCGGCAUCAUUUUGACGUUUAGCAACAGAAGAAGCACCGGCUAACUCCGUGCCAGCAGCCGCGGUAAUACGGAGGGUGCGAGCGUUAAUCGGAAUUACUGGGCGUAAAGCGCAUGCAGGUGGUUUGUUAAGUCAGAUGUGAAAGCCCGGGGCUCAACCUCGGAACUGCAUUUGAAACUGGCAGACUAGAGUACUGUAGAGGGGGUAGAAUUUCAGGUGUAGCGGUGAAAUGCGUAGAGAUCUGAAGGAAUACCGGUGGCGAAGGCGGCCCCUGGACAGAUACUGACACUCAGAUGCG
RNAcentral lists this ribosomal RNA (425 nucleotides) under uncultured bacterium. RNAcentral describes it as "bacterial SSU rRNA". It matches the Rfam family "Bacterial small subunit ribosomal RNA", at positions 335 to 755 of the family's 1533-position model. The record is from RNAcentral.